RNAcentral lists this ribosomal RNA (497 nucleotides) under uncultured bacterium. Its description in RNAcentral is "partial 16S ribosomal RNA". It matches the Rfam family "Bacterial small subunit ribosomal RNA", at positions 28 to 507 of the family's 1533-position model. The record is from RNAcentral.
GAUGAACGCUGGCGGCGUGCCUAAUACAUGCAAGUCGAGCGAACGGACGAGAAGCUUGCUUCUCUGAUGUUAGCGGCGGACGGGUGAGUAACACGUGGAUAACCUACCUAUAAGACUGGGAUAACUUCGGGAAACCGUAGCUAAUACCGGAUAAUAUUUUGAACCGCAUGGUUCAAAAGUGAAAGACGGUCUUGCUGUAACUUAUAGAUGGAUCCGCGCUGCAUUAGCUAGUUGGUAAGGUAACGGCUUACCAAGGCAACGAUGCAUAGCCGACCUGUGAGGGUGAUCGGCCACACGGGAACUGAGACACGGUCCAGACUCCUACGGGAGGCAGCAGUAGGGAAUCUUCCGCAAUGGGCGAAAGCGUGACGGGGCAACGCCGCGUGAGUGAUGAAGGUCUUCGGAUCGUAAAACUCUGUUAUUAGGGAAGAACAUAUGUGUAAGUAACUGUGAACAUCUUGACGGUACCUAAUCGGAAAGCCACGGCUAACUACGUG